Molecule: long non-coding RNA, 4544 nt
Organism: Crotalus tigris (Tiger rattlesnake)
Lineage: Eukaryota; Metazoa; Chordata; Lepidosauria; Squamata; Viperidae
Exons: 2
Source: RefSeq, a predicted model, not a curated record
GAGCCCCACCUGGCCGUCGCACGCGGGCAUCCUUGCUGCAUCACUGUGUCUAAGCAUUUGUAGUCAGAAACCGCGCUGGCUUUUUUUGCGGGGGGGGGGACGACGACAAAAAAAUGAAAUGCCUGCGCGCUUGUCAAGAUUUAAUUAGGUGUUCCCCACCCACCCCCCUUUUUUUUCAAAUUGAUGGGAUGCGGGCACGGAUCUCGAUUUUAGUUUCUCUUCUGAAUUUACUGCCCGGGACCAAAGUCUAUCGACUGGACUUCAUAAUGCGCAGUAGGAGUAGGGAGAAGGAUUUAUUUUAGAGCAGGUUUAUAUCACCCUGACAUUCAAACAGUCUACACAAUCUAAUAUACUGAAUCAAAAGAUUGACGUUUUUUAAGAUAGUCUGACAGAAUCCUUAAGUUUUUUCCCUUAAGAUUUUGUUUUAUGACUAUAGAGUUGUGUGAAAACCUGCAGAUCUGUUUGCAUAUUGAAUACAGUAGUAGAUUGGAUGGCAGAAAUCAGCAUUUGAGACUCACCUUUUUGGGUUACUGCUGCUGCUGUUACUGGUGUUUUUAAAUUUUUAUCUUGCUUUUUUUUAUAUACAACUCAAGGUGACAAUCAUACCUAAUAUUCCUUCCUCUCUUUUUUUCUCUCCACUACUACAACUCUGUGAGGUGGGUUGAGCUAGAAAGAGUAAAUUGUCCAAGAUCCCCCAACUGGCGUUCAUGUCUAAGAUAGGACUAGAAGUCAGUCUCCUGGUUUCUAAGACAGCAUUUUCACCAGAAUACCAAACUAGUUCUUACAGAUGAUAUGGUAGUAUUGUCAGACCAAACACUUCAGAGUUCCCAAUCUUAAAAAUUAAAAAACAAAACGGGGAACUUGUUCUGCAGAAAGAUUGAAAUCAGCAAUAGAAGGACUGAGCUGUAAUGCUCCCAGAAAUCUGGGGAGCUGAGAAAAAAAAGUGUCUGGAUAAAGGUUGUUGACAUUUUAAUGUGUUGUGUGAAUCCAACUAUGGGUUCACUUGUCAAUUGUGUCAAUUGUGCUUUAUUCAAAAUCAGCAGUCUGACCUUCAUGUUGAGACAAUUAGAAAGUCUCAUAUAAAUUAUAGAUCACUGCACAGUGCACAGUUGCCUUGUUGGUUACUGCAGAUAAUUAGAAAUUAUCAGGUCUGCUGGACUACUGCCUUCAUAGUUGUUUUUAUUCCAGAGUAUAAUGGAAUACAGAAAUUACGUAUCAGCUCAAUCAUCAGAUUUAUCUUUUAGUGAUGUAAUAUAUCAUAUAUCAAUAGGGACAAUCUUUCUUUGAAUUUAAUAAUUUGAAUGGAAAAGUAAUUGCAAAUGUACAGGAUAAAGGCUUCUAUCGGUGACAAAUUUUCCAUAUGCCUAGUAAAAUGUGAAAUUCAGUAGCAUAUAAAUGUACAUGCCUCUUUUUAUUUUUAGAACAAUCUCUAUGAAACAGUUAUGGGAGCAAAUCUCAAUGGUUUUCAAGAUUAAUGUUCUUGACCCUUAAUGAUGGUCCUUUUCUAAAUAAACUAUGGCAUCUCUUACAAGUGGAUAAAAUGUAAACGUUUCCUGAAGUGUGGAUGUUGAAAGAAAGCUCAACUGGUGAGGGAAUCCUCAAUGUAAGCGGCGAUCCGGCGGGAAGAGCUGUGAGUUGGCAGAUUUAACAACCAGCGGAUUAACAGGAGGGAGACAUAAAGGAAGGAAAGACCUUGUGGUAAAUGUUUUAGCGCAAGUACAAGGAAGAUGGAGGAUUAAGGAAGAAGAGGUUGAGAGACAAUGGCGAAAGCGGAGUUGGUGGAGUCAGUGAGACAAGAGAAGCGAAGGGAGAAGAUCGAUAAGCAAGCAGCUGGGAAGGCAGAGAAAAUGGUGAUUUAGGAGAAACGGAGAAGGAGUGAAUAUGCUGUGGAAUAUUAGAGAAUAUUGGAGAAAGUGAUUGGAGAAGAAAGUUGGAGACAGACCUGAACGUGGAGAAGAUUCGGAAAGCCAAGGAGAUGAUGAGAAGACAUGUUUAUGUGAUGAAAGAGAAUGUUGCGUGGUGAAAAUCUGGAAGGUGAAGGAGACGGCGAGAGGACGUGACAAGGAGACAAAAGCAAAAGUAACGGAUUGACGGCAGGAGAUACGAGAUCGGAGGGAAAAUCUGGAGCUCUGCAGAGGGGACUGUGCCUUUAGUUAAGAGGGAAGAGAGAAAGUGAAGAGGAUUGAAGGGGGGGAUACGGUGAUGAGUGCGAGAGGAAGUGAAGGAGACGGUGAGAGGACGGGGCACGGCGUUGAAGGAGACAGGAACGGGGGCGAGGUUCAGAAGGUAAAGGAGACGAUGAGAGGACGUGAUAAGGUGAUAAAAACGGACUAAUGAUUGAUAAUAUACGAUUGGAGAAGAAAUCUGGACUUUUAGAAAGACUGUGUGAUAAGUAAGAAAGAGGAAAGAAAGUGAAGAGGGUUGGAGAAGGUAAGGAGAGAUUUGGGGAAUAGUGGAAGUGGAGGUAGUCUCAGAGGAGUUGAGGAAGGGAAACGAAGAAUUAGAAGUUUAGAGUUAAAACAAAGUUAAAUAAAUUGUUGGCUAAAUAGAGUGACAUUUAGAAUAGAAAGUAUUAGAGAAACAAGUGAUAAAUAUGACAACACUGAGGACAGGAAAAAAAAAAAAACGGUGUCAAGCCUAGCACUGAUACCUUCAUCUCCAACUGGUCAAAGAACAUUAGAAGGAAUGCUUGGUACAGAAAAACAGAGUAUAAUAGUAAAUAUGCAGACCAUGCAGGCAACACUACUUACUAUCCAAGAAACGAUGCUAAAAAUGCAGGAGACAAUAUCUAAGAAUCACAUAGAAAUGAGAGGGGAUAUGAAUAAAUUGGAUAAUAGAAUUGAGAUGAUUCAACAAACGAUUGAGAAAAAUGAAGAAAGAAUACAGACAGUAGAAGUAAGGUUGGAUAAAGUUGGGAAAAAAGUUGACACACUAGAUAAAGAACUGAUAGCAACUAAUAAAAAAAUGGAGGAAUCGAUCAUCCAUUUGCAAAUGGACCGGGCGGCAUUUUACCUAUGAUUUCAAAAUGUGGUAGAGGAGAAGGAAGAAGAUUUGGGUGCUAUCAUGGUGGAAUUGAUUGCUGAGGCUUUACAAAGGGACAAACAAGAGAGAUUGAUAGAGAUAGAUGAGGUGUACAGUAUUCAUACAAAUUAUGCCAGAGGCAACAGACUUCCACGAGAAGUACACAUAAGAUUCGCUAGGGAAAAAGUGAGAGAUAUAAUUUACAAAAUUACAAGAGAGGAUCCAAUGAUUUAUAAAGGUAUGGAAAUACAAACUUUAAAACAGGUCCCAAAGAAAAUAAGAGAACAGAGAAGGGAGUAUAGAUUUCUCAGUGCGUAUUUAAUUAAAAGAAGCAUCCCAUUCAGAUGGCUAAUCCCGGAGGGGAUGUUGAUAUCAUGGAAGGAGAGAAGGGUUAAGAUAGACAGCUUAGAGAAGGCGCGAGAAUUCUAUGAACAAUUGGAAGGAGUGGAGGAAGAGAAUAGCAGCAAGGAAGAAUUGGAAUCCAAAAGCCAGGAAGACCAACAGCAGGAAGCAAGGGAAAUAGAACAAGGGACAGAAAGCAAGGAAGAAAAAGGACAGAGGAAAGAAAGAGGAGUAAGUCCGAGAACAAAACAAACACACAAGUAGAACACACAAGUAGAAAAUGGAAAAGGAGAUUCGAUUAAUAUCAAUUAAUGUGAUGGAUUAAAUGCACCCACAAAAAGAAAACAAAUACUAACAAAAUUAGUAAAACAACAUAUAGACAUAGCUUGUUUACAAGAGGUACAUAUUAAAGAACAACACAGGAAAUAUUUGAAGUUCCCAAAAUUAGGAGUAUUAUAUACAGCACUAGCGGAACAAAAACAGAGAGGAAUAGUGGUUUAUAUUAGAAGAGAAAUUAAUGCUAAAUUGAGGUACCAAGAUACAGAUGGAAGAAUAUUAAUAAUAGAAUUACAAAUUGAGCAGAAAUCAUGGCUGCUAGUGAUAAUAUAUGCACCAAAUGAGAAUCAAAAAGAAUUCUAUUACAAAUUACAUGAAAAACUUUUAGAAAUUGGACAGGGAAAUAUUUGUAUAGUAGGAGACUAUAAUGCGGUAGUGAAUGUAAAAAAAAAGAUUAUAUUAGUGAUAUAAAAAAUAAAAAGAAAAGGAAAACACUACCAAGGACGUUCUUUGAUUUGGCACAUGAACUUAUCUGAUCAAUGGAGGAAACGGAAUAAAAAAAAAGAAUAAUAAUAAUCUCGAACCCGCAUAAAUCUUGGUCUCGAAUAGACAUGGCAUGGAUGAAUGAAGAGGUAGGGCAAGACAUAGAGAUAAUAGAAAUAAUGCCAAAUACAUGGGCUGAUCAUAACCCUCUGAAAAUAGUUUGGAAAGGGCAGAAAAAAGUAAGAAGAAGAUGGAUAUUGAACUCUCACAUUUUGAAAGAAAAAGAAUUUAUUGUAAGGAUUAGAAGAGAAAUGGAACUCUUUUUUAAAGAGAAUAUAAAACAACAAACAUCAUUACAAAUUAUUUGGGACACUGCGAAAGCAUAUUUGAGAGGUAUAGCAGUAGCCUAUACAGUAAAAAAA